CAUAGUUUAAGCUAUAUUAAGCUUAUAGGCUCAUAACCUAUUGAAAUUUCACUAUGA
RNAcentral lists this transfer RNA (57 nucleotides) under Pyemotes zhonghuajia. RNAcentral's name for it is "tRNA-Met". The record is from RNAcentral. Lineage: Eukaryota; Metazoa; Arthropoda; Arachnida; Trombidiformes; Pyemotidae.